UACGUAGGGGGCGAGCGUUGUCCGGAAUCAUUGGGCGUAAAGAGCUCGUAGGCGGUUCAGCAAGUCGGCUGUGAAAUUCCGAGGCUCAACCUCGGAACUGCAGUCGAUACUGCUGUGACUCGAGUCCGGUAGAGGAGAAUGGAAUUCCCGGUGUAGCGGUGAAAUGCGCAGAUAUCAGGAAGAACACCGGUGGCGAAGGCGGCUCGCUGGGCCAGUUCUGACACUCAUCCGCGAAAGCGUGGGGAGCAAACAGG
Molecule: ribosomal RNA, 254 nt
Filed under: uncultured bacterium
Lineage: Bacteria
Description: partial 16S ribosomal RNA
Rfam family: Bacterial small subunit ribosomal RNA
Source: RNAcentral